Molecule: ribosomal RNA, 253 nt
Filed under: uncultured bacterium
Lineage: Bacteria
Description: partial 16S ribosomal RNA
Rfam family: Bacterial small subunit ribosomal RNA
Source: RNAcentral
UACGUAGGGUGCGAGCGUUAAUCGGAAUUACUGGGCGUAAAGCGUGCGCAGGCGGCGCGUUAAGACAGGUGUGAAAGCCCCGAGCUUAACUUGGGAAUUGCGCUUGUGACUGGCGUGCUGGAGUGUGGCAGAGGGAGGUGGAAUUCCACGUGUAGCAGUGAAAUGCGUAGAGAUGUGGAGGAACACCGAUGGCGAAGGCAGCCUCCUGGGCCAGCACUGACGCUGAGAAGCGAAAGCAUGGGGAGCGAACAGG